Caenorhabditis elegans is the source of this 21-nucleotide non-coding RNA. Lineage: Eukaryota; Metazoa; Nematoda; Chromadorea; Rhabditida; Rhabditidae. The record is from Ensembl.
UGCGUCGUUGAAUCUCCUUUG